RNAcentral lists this ribosomal RNA (440 nucleotides) under uncultured bacterium. RNAcentral's name for it is "partial 16S ribosomal RNA". It matches the Rfam family "Bacterial small subunit ribosomal RNA", at positions 338 to 794 of the family's 1533-position model. The record is from RNAcentral.
CCUACGGGAGGCAGCAGUGAGGGAUAUUGCGCAAUGGGCGAAAGCCUGACGCAGCGACGCCGCGUGGGCGAGGAAGGCCUUCGGGUUGUAAAGCCCUUUUGGCAGGGAAGAGCAAGGACUGUACCUGCAGAACAAGUCACGGCUAACUACGUGCCAGCAGCCGCGGUAAUACGGAGGGUGCAAGCGUUGCUCGGAAUCACUGGGUGUAAAGCGCGAGUAGGCGGUUAAUUAAGUCAGAUGUGAAAGCCCACGGCUCAACCGUGGAAGUGCAUCUGAAACUGGUUAGCUAGAGUGUGAGAGAGGGAUGCGGAAUUCCCGGUGUAGCGGUAAAAUGCGUAGAUAUCGGGAGGAACACCAGUGGCGAGGGCGGCUUUCUGGACUGUACCUGACGCUGAGACGCGAAAGCGUGGGGAGCAAACGGGAUUAGAUCCCCCUGUAGU